GGCACGUGAUUGGUCAAUUUUUUUCAUAAUAUAUGUAAGUAGUCACCUUACAUAUACAGCGUAUCGAUAUGAAUCUUACAAGUUGAGUGGGAGCCCAUAUAUGAAAAGUACGCAAUUAUAGUUUGGUAAACGUAAUUUAAAUUCAACCAUUACAGUUGACGAGUAGAAAAUAAUUAUUUACGAUACAAGUGCAGAAAAUAGAAAAUUCGCAACGAGUGGUGAUAAAUUAAAACACGACCGAAGGGAGUCUUUUAAACCGACAAGAGUUGCGAAUUACCUAUUCGCACGUGUAUCGUACAACGUUUUACAGUACAUAUGGCUGUUUAAAGUUUCGAAAUAGGUAUGCACAGAAAGUGCUCAUUCUGUACAUGUACAUGUAUGUAGCACCAUAUGAGUAUGUACUGUAAACUAUGUUAUACAACAUCGUGUAACAGGGACAUCAUGAUAGUAUUGAUAGUAAUUUAUUAUGUUGUCCCUGUCACACGAUGUUAUAUAACAUUUUAAAACAGCCAAUGUGGGCACACCGUUACGACUUCGAUGGGGUUUCAUUUCAAAACAUAUUUGCUUAGUAGAACUCGACCACAUUUGAAAGUUUCUAUGUUAGAAUCCCAGUUAUAUAUUAAAUUUAGUCUUGUUUGCUCAGGUAAUGGUUCCUCUACAUUAUGGCCCAGCGCUGGACCAGCGAGAUGGCCAUGCGAUGUUUAUGGCUCCUCUACACGAUGACCCAGCGCUGAACCGCGAGAUGGCCAUGCGAUGGUUAAGAGCACGCGCUAUGGAAUGGGCCACGUGUAGGUGCGUACGCACCAUCGCUGGCUUACUUAUGAUGUGCGGACGAAAAACCAACACUGUAGCCAUCCAACGCCAUCCCGCCGCGCCAUAAGCCAUCAGACACCACUACUCUCUCUACACGCUGGACCAUCUUAGUGGGCCAGUAUGAUGGCAUAUCGUGUAGAGCCAUAACACACUACGUCGCACUUUAAAAAAACCGUUUUAAGAACUGAAUUCUAGGUAUCUAAUUCGUAUAAAAAAUGUGUUUAAUUGUCAAUGGCCUUUGUCACUGUCUCAUUAAUUACCUGUUUUAAUUACUUUUUAACUCCUUGUUAAUAAGAAGUUACUGUAUAUCAUUCCAUAUAAAUAGCAGCUGUUUUUUUAAAUAAAUCAUACGUUUCUUGGAACUAUUCAAGACAACACGUAAAGAUGAAACUCCUCGUAAUUUUCGCCGUCCUCGCCUACGCGUCGGCCGAGCUGUCCCUCACCGAGUGGCGGUCCGAAUACGGGGCAUUCCCUACAAGAAUGGCCAUUGCCCCUGCUAUGGCCAUACCCUAUCCUGCCCCUAUGUACUACAAGAUGGCACCAAAAGCGUACACCAUCCCUAAGGGCUACAGAGCGACAUAUGAUCCUGAGAAUUUCAAUGACGUCUUCGGAUUCUACCCUGAUUCCAAGAAGUAGAUACCUAAUUAAAGACGCUGACAACUUGAUGAAAUAAAUGCUGAUACAAAUAACUAA
Cydia pomonella (codling moth) is the source of this 1506-nucleotide long non-coding RNA. RefSeq lists it as uncharacterized. The record is from RefSeq and is a predicted model, not a curated record. The transcript has 2 exons. Lineage: Eukaryota; Metazoa; Arthropoda; Insecta; Lepidoptera; Tortricidae.